GUAGGUGGCAAGCGUUGUCCGGAAUUAUUGGGCGUAAAGUGCGCGCAGGUGGGUCUUUAAGUCUGAUGUGAAAGCCCCCGGGCUCAACCGGGGAGGGUCAUUGGAAACUGGGGAACUUGAGUGCAGGAGAGGAAAGUGGAAUUCCACGUGUAGCGGUGAAAUGCGUAGAUAUGUGGAGGAACACCAGUGGCGAAGGCGACUUUCUGGCCUGUAACUGACACUGAGGCGCGAAAGCGUGGGGAGCAAACAGGAUUAGAUACCCUGGUAGUCCACGCCGUAAACGAUGAGUGCUAAGUGUUGGGGGGUUUCCGCCCCUCAGUGCUGCAGCUAACGCAUUAAGCACUCCGCCUGGGGAGUACGGUCGCAAGACUG
Molecule: ribosomal RNA, 372 nt
Filed under: uncultured organism
Description: partial 16S ribosomal RNA
Rfam family: Bacterial small subunit ribosomal RNA
Source: RNAcentral